AAAAAAAAAAAAAAAAAAAAGAAGGUGGGGGGUGGGGUGGGUUGGGGAUGUCCCACUGCUAGUAAUUGUAGCUCCUCUGUCUGAACCUUUUUACAUUAUUAGUUUCUGCAGCACUGAUAUAAAUAAUGACAUUAAUGUGGAUAUAUGAUUCAUUUUUGCUUUUGUAAAGGAAUCAUUUCUUUAUUUUUAAAAAAUAUUUUUCCAUAUAUUUUUUAAAAAAAUUGAAGUGCCUGGAGUGCUAGUCAUCAAGCUUUACCUUCCGCAGAUGAUUUUUUCUUUUUUCAUGUAAAUCCAUUAUAAAGUUAAUGGAGUCGUGCUUGUAUCUUUAUGAUAAAGAGGAAGAGAGAGAGAGAGAAACACCUUCUUCUAUCAUGGCCCAUCUCCAACAUAAAGCUUACAGCCUAAGGAGUAGUAGCUUCUGAGAACUUAAAAAAGCAACUGGGAAUAAUAUUGUCACCACUACUUCCACAAACCAUCUUAAAACAAGUCAUAAUUGGGCUUAAAACAAACUCCAACUGGGAAACACCACCUUAUUUCUAUAUUAUCACGGUCCUCUCCUCAUAUAUACAAAUGGAAAGACAGGGUACAAGUAGUAGCUAAAGCAAGUUCCUAGUGGAGCUUGUCGGCAAGAUUGCACUGCUUUCUGAUCUCCCCCUUUGUGCCGGUGAGAGGAUUGUUCUCAGAGAGAACGGUGAUGGCUCUUGCAGAUUCUUUGAAGAAGUAGCCUUCAUUCUUUGCCAUUUUCUUUACAUAUUGUCUGGUCUUUUUAUCUACAGCUAGUUGGUGGUCUACCAACAUCAAUUCCUUGUUGUCCAAUAUGUUCCUGUAGUAGUUGUUGUCUAGCCUCAUACGUGUGCCUCUGUCAUUUCCCACAUACUGCACGACGUUUGGGUUAGGGAUUGGAUCCGGGCAUUUCUUGAGCAUGUGGGGUACGUGUUCAUGGUUGAGUUGAGGGUCCACCUCGGGAUGUAAAUGGUGAACCAGCUUAAUACAGUGUGUUCUUCCCACACCUGUGAGCACCUGCAAGAGAAAUGACACAUAAUUAACUUUGAUCUCUUUUUCUCCCUCUCCUAUUAAUGGAUCCGAGAAUUAGGGUUUUGCAUGAUCAAGCCAUGAAGAAAAUAUUUAUUAGAAAUGCAAGAUAAGGUUAUGUAUAAUCACAAUAUGGUCGUCUCUUCCCAUGACCUCAUGCAUAGGGAGAGUUUAGUGCAUCAAACUGUCCUUUUUUUCUUCUUUUUAUUUUUGUUAAUAAUUGAUCUAAGAAACUCAAGGUAUAGUGGAAUGUAUAUGCCUAGCAAGGCAACAACUCCAGGAGUGUUAAUUCCAAUGUUGUUAAAUCUCUCAAGCACAACACUCAUGCUUUCAUUGCGGUCUAGGAGGUGUUGCUCAAGAAUAUCUGCUCUGCUUCUCCUUGUUAGCUUUUGAAACUACAGAGAAAACAAAUAGGUUUAGCAGAAACUUUUUUCAUUCAUUUCAUAUUCCAAAAGGUAUACACACAUAUAUCUACAUAAUACACUUCAAAAGUUAGUAGGACACCUAACUUAUCCAACCACUAUUGUCCUUUCUUACAAGACAUAUUCCACAAAACAAGGACUACCAUUCCUUUACAAACUAAACAAAAUAUCAAACUAGGAAAUAUUAAAUUAAAGACUAUCCAGUCUAACACUCCUCCUUGAUAUUUUUCAUGGAUACUCCUAGCUUAGCCCUUAGAACUUCAAAUUUCCCCUUAGGAAGAGCCUUGGUCAUGAUGUAUGCAAUCUGCUGAUUUGAGCUGCAAUGAACAAGCUUAACUUCGCCAUCCUUCUCAGCUUGCCUGAUAGUGUGAAACUUCACAUUUAUAUGCUUGCUACGACUAUGAUGCACCGGAUUUUUGGCCAUCGAUAUUGCUAACUUGUUGUCAACCUUAAUGACAGUAGCUUCAAUGUCAUUUUGCUCUGAAUCAUAUAAAAUAUUUCUUAACCAUAGAGCCUGAUUAGUUGCACCAACAACAGCGAUGUAUUCUGCUUCUGCAGAAGAUUGAGCUACCACCUCUUGCUUCUUUGAAUUCCAUGAGAACAAGCCUGAACCAAGUGUAAAAGCAUAUCCAGAAGUUCUUUUCAUAUCAUCAACACUUCCUGCCCAAUCACUAUCCGAAUAACCCAUCAAUUGCCCUUGCUCUUCCUUUUUAAACAAAAUACCAUAAUUAGCGGUUCCCUUGAUAUACCUCAACAAUUGUUUAGGGACACCAAGAUGAACUAAACUUGGAGCAUGCAUGAGCCUCGACAAAAGACUUGCCGUGAACAUAAGAUCAGGUCUUGUUGCUGUUAAAUAUAGAAAACUACCAAUUAGACUUUUAUAAACUGUUGGAUCAGCCCUAUCACCUUCUUCAAACUUCAAAAUCUUUUCAUUCUGAACCAGUGGGGUCGAUACAGGCUUGCACCUGUCCAUCUUGAACCUUUUAAAAAUAUCCUAUGCAUAUUUUCUCUGAGAAAUGAAGAUUCCAUUAGUAGCUUGAUGAAUCUCCAUUCCCAGAAAGUAAGUCAUUUCACCCAAAUCCGACAUUUCAAACUUGGUCUCCAUUUCUUGCUUGAACUAAUUCAUCAUAGCUUCAUUACUUCAUGUUAACAGAAGGUCAUCAACAUGGAGUGACACCAUAAGCACAUCUCUGCCUUUAGCUUUCUUAACAUAUAAAGUGACUUCAUUUUCACUUCUCUUGAAGCCAUAAUGAAUGGGAUCAGCAUCAUUCUUACUGUAUCAGGCUCGAGGAGCCUGCUUUAAUUUGUACAAUGCCUUAUUUAGUCUGUAGACUUUAUCCUUCAUUCCUGCAACUUGAAAGCCUUCUGGUUGAUCAACAUAAAUCUCCUCCUGCAACAGCCCAUUUAAGAACGCCGAUUUCAUAUCUAGAUGAUACAAAUUCCAAUUUGCUUGAGCUGCCAAAGCAAACAGAAGCCUUAUUGUAUCAUGUCUCGCAACAAGUGCAAAUGUGUCUCCAUAAUCUAGACUAGCAACUUGUGCAUAACCUUUCACAACAAGCCUUGCUUUGUACUUAUAAACUGAAUUAUCUGGAUUAAGUUUGGUUGUAUAAACCCAUUUCACCCCUAUAACAUUUUUUUCUUUGGUUUUAUCAACAAGCUUUCAAGUGUCAUUCUUCUCGAUCAUACCAAUUUCCUCCUUCAUAGCUUUAAUCCAAACUUCUUGUCUUGAUGCUUUUUGAUAGCUAGUUGGUUUAGAGAUUGCAACAUUUCAGCUUUCGUAUAUAUUAGAAAGGGAAUUAUCUUCAAAUUGGCGAAUUAAGUGAGGAUUCCCCGUCUGCUUCUUCAUCUUCUUCCAGAUUUUCAGAGCCAACAGAUUGUGUCGCAGGCAGCGGAAGCAAGUUCUGAGAAACUGCAUUUUCUUGCUCAAUUUGCUCCUUAUCCCCGUUCCAAUAAGCAUGCUCAUCCACUACUACAUCUCUUCUAAUGGAAAACUCUAUAACCCUUGGCUUGAGACGAAUAUCCAAUAAAAAUCCCUAAUUCACCUUUUGAUUCAAGUUUGCUUCUAUUGACUGAAGGAACAUGAGAAUAGCAUAUUGAACUAAAGAUUUUUAAAUGCUUGGCAGUUGGCUUUAUUCCACUCCAUGUCUCAAUAGGAGUCUUUCCAUCCACAGCUUUUGUCGGCAGCCUAUUUAACAAAUACACCGAAGUAUGAACAACUUCUGCCAAAAGCUUUGCGGUAGUUUCUUUUCCAACAACAAACAUCUAACCAUUUCAACUAUAAUCCUGUUCUUCCUCUCUGAGACCCCAUUCUAUUCGAGUGCAUAGCUUACUGUCAUCUUGUGAUAAAUCCCCAUAUCUUCGCAAUACUUAUUGAACUCAUUUGAAGUGUAUUCUCCACCAUUUUCCGACCUCAAAGCCUUUAGCUUACAACCACUAUGUCUUUCAGCAAAAGCUUUGAAUUUCUUGAAAAUUGAAAUUACUUAAGACUUAUUACUCAGAAAAUACACCCAAGUCAUCCUUGUUAAGUCAUCAAUAAAGAGGACAAUGCCCAAAGAUGGUGUCUGCAUAGGUCCACACACAUCAGUAUGAACUAGCUCAAGUUUUUCAAAUGCCCUCCAGGUAGCACUUUUAGGAAAUGCUUUCCUGUGUACCUCACCCAUUGACAUGAGCUAACAGUGAGAUUUUAGGUAAAUCCUUAGACAAGCCCUUUUCAUGCAUAGACUUUAAGGUGGCAUAGUUAAAAUGCCCAUAUCUUUUGUGCCACAACCAUGACUCGUCCAAACUCGCAAAAUUGGCACUAUCAAGAUUCCUGUCUAAAGGAAAGAUUUUAUUCACCAUUUCUACUUUAAUAACCAAACUAUCUUCAGAGUAAAAAACCAAACAAUGCUUACCCUUAAAAAAUAAAGAAUAACCUUUCGACAUCAUUUGAGCAACACUUAACAGAUUACAUGCUAAACAAGAAGCAUACAACACAUCACGUAUAAAUUUUGUACCUUGUUUAGCCUAAAAGGCAACUGAACCCUUCCCAUGUGCUUCUAUCGUUUCACCAUUUCCCAUCCUGACUUUAGUUCUAAUUGACUUGUCAAGUGUCUGAAACAGAAGCUCAUUGUGUGUCAUAUGACUCGCACAUCAACUAUCUAUGAACCAUGUGGAUCUGUUGGUUGUGUUUUUUUCAUCAGAAGCACAAAUAUGCCUUCUUCUUCCUUUUCUAACUCUUCAAUAAAAUUUGCCUAUUGCAUAUGGUUUUGUUGUGGUUGGUUCUGCUUGAUCCUACAAUUCUUCUCAAUAUGACCCAUUUUUCUAUAGAAUCUGCAUUGAAUAGAUGGCUUUCCCUUGAACCAGCAGUCCUUUUCUUGAUGAUUGGUUCUUUUACAAUGGUUGCAAGGUGGAAACUUCCCUUUCUUUGAAGAUUCCUUCCAUGUUUUCCCCUUUGCUAAUUUAUCUCCUUCCAUCCUUUUAUUGUCCUUCGCAGGCUGCUUGCCUUUAUGCUUUUCUUGAAAUGCCACUGCUGCUACUUCUUCAUCUCUUAUACUUGAUCUUUAUUCUUGGGCUUGCAACUUGCCUAUCUAUUCUGCUACUGAUAAAGUCUUCAAAUCACAAGAUUCCUCUAUUGCUGAAAUCUUGGACUCAAACCUUGCUGGUAAGCUUAUCAUCAUCUUCUCGACCACUUUUAAAUCUGGAAAGACUUCACCAAACAAUCUGAUUUUAUUUACAAUCUCCAAAAGUUUGGCAGAGUAGUCUUUCAUAGUAUCUCCUUCCUUUAUCCUUAACGUCUCAAAUUCUCUUCUGAGAGUUAGGAGUUUGACAGUCUUCACUCUGUCACUUCCAUCGAACUCCUCUUUUAGCUUCUCCCAUGCUUCUUUAGGUGUCUCACUAGCCAUUAUUCUUGUAAAAAUCACUUAUGAGAGUGCUGAAUUAAGAUAUGUGAGAGCCUUUGGUUUCCUGUAGUGCUGAAUGAAGACAUGCUGAAUUCGUAUUUGCACUUGCCUCAUUUAAAAAGGAAAGUGUCUCGGGGAAGUACGGUUGUCCAUCCAUGCUUGAGGUCGACUUGAUCUAGGAAAGUUAGUGGGCCUCGUUGGACCCACCAAUGGAUAGGAGUUUACAAUAAACAUGGGCAUACAUUGAAUUAGUUUUUAACUCCAGGACAUAAAUUAAAUUACAAGGCAAAAAAUUUAAAUUACAACAGAAUUGGGCUAGGCCCAUAAUUAUUAAGCAAAUAGGGAGGGACAGGUUAUGCAAAGGGGACAUUUUUCUCAAAUAUUUCGGCUAAAACAGUAGACCGGCCCAACUACUAAAUAAGCAAUAUAAAGAGGUCCAGUCGAAUAAAGAGAUGAGCCCAGAACCCAGGGCCCAAACCAAAGCAUUCUCGAAUUUUACUAAGUGUCAAAACUGAAUAUACAUGAUAUACCCCAUGAUAUACACCUAAUGGAGAGCAAAACACAAUAGCAUACCCUCCAUAUACCUGAUAUACACCCCCUUAUACUUAGUCAAUCCAACUCCUAUAAACGUAUACAUAGCCAAAGUCUUAGGCUACUAAUUAACUUCUAACAUCACAAAUAGGUCUUAAGACCAGUAUCAACAAACAACCAGUUAAGAAUUUUAAAGGGUUCCAAACAGUUCACUUUCAAGCCCAUAUCAAACAUUUAACUACCAGGAAAGACCAAACAAACUCCUUGAGGUUUUAUAUUAUCCAAAUUUGAAGUAAACUAUCAACAAAUUCAGAGUGAAAGUAAUACAAAAAUGACAGGAUAACAAGGAAUACAAACAAGAAUAGAAAUGUGCACAACAGCUAGGACACAGAAGUCAUAUUGAUUUUGGUUUUAGUAUAGCUAGCUAAUCAGUAGUGUAGGGUAAAAUAUCAAAGAGAUUCAAGCAAGUAUUUCUAAACUUUCUACAUGUUGACCCAAAUUCUAUCUUUUAAGGUGAGAAAAUGCAUAGACAUGGUAGUCUAGGUGUGGUCUGCCACUUUCAAUCAAUAUUAGUCUAUUGUAGAAUCAAAAUGACAAAACAAUGCCAGUUUUGAGGCUUAACAAAUCCCCAAACUUUAAGUUUUUCCAAGUUUGAACUUAACAAGUUUCAAAAGUUAUCUUUUGCCAUGCCAGAUUGUAAUAUGUCACAAAGGAAAGUCUCAAAUGAUGAUUUAGCCAUAAGUUGAUUCCCAGAAUGAACAAAUAGUUCAAAGGCUUAAUAUAAGAACUCACAAUAAGCUACAUAGAUGGUCUAGUAAAUCAUAGGGUAUUCCAACAUGUAGAUCAUAUAGGACACUUGUAAAGGUUUUAACUGGUUUCCUAGUCUCAAACUUAUCUCUAGGACUACUCAAAUGAACUAAGGCACAAGUAGAGGUCACAUAUGGUCAUAACAGAAAGGGUUCAUAGCAAAAUACUCAAGUCUGAGUUGCAUGAUCAAGUCAAGAGAAGUAUAGGUUUCAUGACACUCAUCCUAGGUCUUAAAUGGCAUCUAGGAGACAAGAAUAUAUAAGCAGAAUCAUCAAGUAAUAGGAAAUGGGAAAAGGACAAAUGCAUAAGCAACUUAUAAUUAUUGAACUCACCACUUCAUUUUUAUCUUUUCUUAACUCAUCAAUAUUCCAAGUUAAACAGAAUUCUUAAGGAUUUUUCAGUAGAUGUUUUGUCACACAUAGAGCAUGAAAGUAAGCCUUAAGAUCACAUAGGAAGGGGAAGGAAGAGACCAGGUAGCAAAUAAACAAAUAUAGCACUCAACUCCUAAUCAAAGUUACAUCCAGUUCUUCUUCUUUUUAAAUUCAUAGUGUCAAAUGAUCAGAACAUCAGCCAAUGAAUCAAAACAGGCUAGCAGUAUCUACACUAAUACAAAAUAGGCUAGUAGUAUCUACACUAAUACAUCCUCAACCAUAUUUUCAAUGAUAGACAGGAUUCAAACUUCAAAUGUCAAACCAGAAUAACUUAAGGGUUGCAAGUAGGUGAGUAAACAAGUAAGCCAACUCCAUUCUCAAUAUUUAAAGCCAUUUCCAAGCAAAACAUAAGUCCAAUAUAUCUUCCUAUAUUAUAACUUUUUAAAACAGUUUUUAAGCAUCCAAGUUAAGUAAGAACAUAUAGCAAACUAAACAUGAAUAAUAUUCAAACUUCAAGUCAAAGUAACUCAGCAAGUAGGAUUUUCACAGAAUUCCUUUUUUAAGUCUUAGGCAAAGUUUUCUGUUCAAGUUCAGCCAAUUUUAAGAGAUUCAGGGAUGAAAAUAAGCAAGGUUACUCCUAGGGUCCAAACCUAGACUAGUGUCAAAAAUCAUCCAAGCAAUGUACAGAUCUUUGAGGUUUCAAAAUUGCAUUUUUCAGACUCAAGCUAUUCCAAAACUCACAAGAUAUCCUCCUAAGUUAACUAAGUGAGGCAGUUCUAUAGGUUCUAAGCAGUUUUAAGUAGGGACAAAUUGGAGAAAAUAGUGAUUCAAUAUUUCAAAUUCAAUAGCUUAUUCUAAGUUGCAUUGCAACAUUUAGCAAAAGUCACAUAGAAGUAGUUUUUACAAAGAAAUAGGUUUCAAUUUAUUAACUAACCUCACAUAAACAACUUUAUGAUUUCAAAAUCGUACAAACUACAUUCCAAAUCAGUUUUCAAACUUAUUAAACUACUUGGAUAGGCUAAUAAGUCAUAAACGCCAUUCAGUUGUCAGUUCUAAAUCAAAAUGAAAACAUAAACAGAGUUUCAGGUUUACAAACUAAAUUCUAGUAGUGACUUAAAAUCUUUGAAAUCAUUUUUUUCACAAAAAACUAGAAACGUAUUAAUCACAAAUCAAGUUAUCAAACACUUAGCCUAGUUAUGUAUCAAAUUUUUAGUAGUUUAGACAGUAAAGGGAGUGAUAGGUCAUAAUCAUCCAACCAAAAGCAAACUCAGGAUAUUCAGCUUUCAUAAAACCUUAUUCCAUACUUACAAAUAACUCCAUGAAUCAUUUUAAAGGAAAACUUACUAACUUAAGACAAUUUUCAACAUAUCAAGCAAAUAUACUACUCUAAAAUGAACUUAAGCAAUUAACAGAAAUCAUAUUCAACUACAUGGCAGCAAAAUAGAAUCUAGAAUCUGAAAUAAACCAUAGGAGUUAUUUCCAGAUUUCAGAACAACUAUAUCUUACCCAAAAUCAAAGCUAAGUACUCCUAUCCUAUCAAAACAGUCUCCAAAACUACCACAGUUUCAAAACACAAAGCUAAAAAGCAUGAGAUUAUAAUUUCAAAUAUAGAUUAUAGCCAACUAAACUUCUUGUCCUAAUUAUCUAACUAGCUACCCUUAAACCAAACUUAAAAAAAAAAAACUUAGACCCCCCAUUUUCAGUUAUUUCUUCCUAUUUUUUAAACUAGUAAGUUAUAAUGUCUAUGUAACACCCCGUACCUUUAACCUAAGCUUUGACCAUGAUCCUAGACUUAGAAAACCAUAUAAAGAAUGUGGGAAUUGGAAAUUUCCUCUUCAGCUGUAAGAUGGUGGUUUAUGACCAUGAACAGUGACCGUAUUUCAGUUUACGGGCCGUAUUUCAAAUCGUAAACUGAAACCAAGGAUUUCUGAGCAUUCUGGAAUUUGGCAAUUUGAUGUCAAAUGGUUAAAUACGGACCGUAUUUCAAAAUACGGCCCGUAUUUCAAAAUGUAUUUGGAAUUUGGGACAACUUCCUUCAUGAAAGUUGUAGAGCUUUGAAAUACCUUUCCAACGGUAUAUUAUGGGCAUCAAACGGACAUUUGUGCAAAGCGUUAUGACCAUUUUACUAAAGAGACGCAGUGUAGUCCAUAUGUCAAAAUACGGACCGUAUUUCAAAAUACGGCCCGUAUUUCAAAAUACGGCCAGUAUUUAACUGGGCCGAAAAUCUAAUUUUUCCAGAACAGUAUAUAUUCAUCCAUAUCAGUUCAAAUCAUUAUUUUUCAUUCCUUCAAGCCCUAGAACGACUUCCUACCCUCUUCCAUCAUCAAGAACACCAAGGUAAGUCUACUCUAAUUAUUCCAAAUCAAUUCUAAUACCUAUCCUUGUAAUCUAAACAAGAAAUCAUCAUUCCAAGACUAGGGUUUUCAAGAAAACCUAUCUCAAGGUUCAAGAAUGCAAGAUUUUGGAAAUCUUCUUCAAAGCUCAAGUCUUUAAUUCAAGUUUUGGAGCAAUUAAGGUAUGUAGAACUUCCAUCCACAUGAGGGAAUCUCUACAUUCUUCCCCAUGCUCCGUUUCUUGAUAUCCAUGAAGUUCAAACCCUAGGGCAUUAAACCCAACAUAUUGGUAGCCCGUAUUUAUGUAUUUAUGUACAUGAAUUUUGAAUCUAUAUUCGUUAUUGUAUUCCUAAUCUUCCAUUACGGUUAUUAGGAACCCUAGCUUAAUCCAUGAAUCAUGAAUUCUUCCUCAUGUAUUCUCAUUAUGUUUAUAUGAAACUUUAUGAUUUUAUGUAGCAAGUUACAAGCAUGUUUUCAAGUCAAUUAUAUAUAUAUAAUUAUGAACUAUUGUUAUUACUCAUGAAUCAAGAACAUGUUUGCAAGACUACGACAAGUUAUCUCAUGAAACCAUAUUACAAGAUAUUUCAUGAAACCAUGUUUACAAGUUAUUUCAUGAAAUCAUGAUUACAAGUUAUUUACAAGUUAUUUCACGAAAAUCAUGGGCUUCUUAGCCAACUAUAUUAUGUUCAUGUUUUGGGAAUUGCUUAGUUAACCGAGAAAGCUCAGAUAGCCUGAAACUACGUAGCCACCGUAGGAUAAGGGUUGUCAGCAAGGAGGCAACACCUUCAUUAUGCAGUUUGGAUCCUUACAUGCUUAUUAUUACUUAAAUCUCAUAUCCCUGGCAAGGUUGUGAGUGUUCUGCUGGUAGGACGCAAGUACCAGACCAUGUUGUCGGUUAUACUAUAGCAUUCCCCACGUUACAAGCAGUUUACAUACAUGUAUUCCCAUUGAUUUACUGUUUUCAGACUUUACUCACGUUUUAUGCUCAUGUCCAAGUUACAUUCAGUUUCAGUUCAUGUCCUAUACCUAUACUGUGCCAUGUUCUUCAUUUCAGCAGGUUUUACAUACUAGUACUAUUCACCAUGUACUAACGUCCCUUUUUCCCGGGGCCUGCACUUCACGGUGCAGAUACCGAUUUUCAGGAGCAUACACCUGCGCAGUAGGAUCACUUCAGUUAUCAGCUUAUUGAUACCCAUUUUCAGGAGCAUACACCUGCGCAGUAGGAUCACUUCAGUUAUAAGCUUAUUGAUACCGAUUUUCAGGAGCAUGCACCUGCGCAGUAGGAUCACUUCAGUUAUCAGCUUAUUGGUGAGCCCCACUUCUCUCGGGGUUCAACAUGGAGUCUGCAUUAGUAUUCAGUUUAUGGUAGUCCAGGGCCAGGUCCUGAUAGUUAGUAUUCAGACAUGUUUUUAGAGGUUUCAUAGACAGAUAUUAGUUCACAGAGUCAGUGGUGUUUUUCCUGUUUGCAGACUAUUAUGUUUUCAUGAUAUUUUAUGCUAAGAGAUAAAUUCAAGACUUUAUUCCGCAAA
This is a long non-coding RNA of Lycium barbarum (goji berry), 10903 nucleotides long. RefSeq lists it as uncharacterized. The transcript has 3 exons. NCBI's taxonomy places the organism in Eukaryota, Viridiplantae, Streptophyta, Magnoliopsida, Solanales, Solanaceae. The record is from RefSeq and is a predicted model, not a curated record.